UUUUCUACCAUUGUAAAAGUGAUAGUUUCUCCAUAUCGAGAACUAUUACGGUUUAUUAUUUGUACGCAUUUGGGAUUCAAUUGUAAGGGGUUUUCAUUGCCAAAGCAUGCCAGAAUUAUUUAAUCGAAGAUUCAAGAUUCAAUUCCAGUUCUAAAAUUGCAAUCCAAGUUUAUUAUUGUUUACUGUUUUAUUUAUUUAUGCCUUACUGUAUGUUUAAUUCCCCAAUUGCCAUGUCUGUCACCGGAUUUAUGUCCGGCUAAAC
RNAcentral lists this long non-coding RNA (262 nucleotides) under Lathyrus oleraceus (garden pea). Its description in RNAcentral is "Pisum sativum (pea) long non-coding RNA (PSAT_LNC008133)". Lineage: Eukaryota; Viridiplantae; Streptophyta; Magnoliopsida; Fabales; Fabaceae. The record is from RNAcentral.